Molecule: ribosomal RNA, 771 nt
Filed under: uncultured bacterium
Lineage: Bacteria
Description: bacterial SSU rRNA
Rfam family: Bacterial small subunit ribosomal RNA
Source: RNAcentral
AGAGUUUGAUCCUGGCUCAGGACGAAUGCUGGCGGUGCGCCUAAUGCAUGCAAGUCGAGCGAAGCUUCUAAAUAGUUUACUAUUUAGAAUGACUGAGCGGCGAACGGGUGAGUAACGCGUGAACAAUCUACCCUAAUUAUCAGGACAGCUCAAGGAAACUUGAAUUAAUACUGAAUAAACUUUUAAAUUCACAUGAAUUAUAAAGCAAAGGUCAGCCGAAUUGGGAUGAGUUCGCGUUCUAUCAGCUAGUUGGUAAGGUAAAAGCUUACCAAGGCUACGACGGAUAGCUGGUCUGAGAGGACGAUCAGCCACACUGGGACUGAGACACGGCCCAGACUCCUACGGGAGGCUGCAGCAGGGAAUCUUGCGCAAUGAGCGAAAGCUUGACGCAGCGACACCGCGUGUGGGAUGACGGAUCUAGGUUUGUAAACCACUUUCAGGAGGGAAGAAAAUGACGGUACCUCCACAAGAAGCCCCGGCUAACUAUGUGCCAGCAGCCGCGGUAAUACAUAGGGGCAAGCAUUGUCCGGAAUUAUUGGGCGUAAAGAGCUCGUAGGCGGUUCAACAAGUUGUUCGUGAAAGUUUAGUGCUUAACUCUAAAGUGUCGAUCGAUACUGUUGUGACUAGAAUACGGUAGAGGUAAGUGGAAUUCAAAGUGUAGCGGUGAAAUGCGUAGAUAUUUUGAGGAACACCAAAGGCGAAGGCAGCUUACUGGGCCGCUAUUGACGCUGAGGAGCGAAAGCUAGGGGAGCAAACAGGAUUAGAUACCCU